RNAcentral lists this ribosomal RNA (457 nucleotides) under Staphylococcus aureus. RNAcentral's name for it is "partial 23S ribosomal RNA". It matches the Rfam family "Bacterial large subunit ribosomal RNA", at positions 205 to 661 of the family's 2925-position model. Lineage: Bacteria; Bacillati; Bacillota; Bacilli; Caryophanales; Staphylococcaceae. The record is from RNAcentral.
AGUACCCGGAGGAAGAGAAAGAAAAUUCGAUUCCCUUAGUAGCGGCGAGCGAAACGGGAAGAGCCCAAACCAACAAGCUUGCUUGUUGGGGUUGUAGGACACUCUAUACGGAGUUACAAAGGACGACAUUAGACGAAUCAUCUGGAAAGAUGAAUCAAAGAAGGUAAUAAUCCUGUAGUCGAAAAUGUUGUCUCUCUUGAGUGGAUCCUGAGUACGACGGAGCACGUGGAAUUCCGUCGGAAUCUGGGAGGACCAUCUCCUAAGGCUAAAUACUCUCUAGUGACCGAUAGUGAACCAGUACCGUGAGGGAAAGGUGAAAAGCACCCCGGAAGGGGAGUGAAAUAGAACCUGAAACCGUGUGCUUACAAGUAGUCAGAGCCCGUUAAUGGGUGAUGGCGUGCCUUUUGUAGAAUGAACCGGCGAGUUACGAUUUGAUGCAAGGUUAAGCAGUAAAUGU